UACGUAUGGGGCAAGCGUUGUUCGGAAUUAUUGGGCGUAAAGGGCGCGUAGGCGGCUAUUCAAGUGGCGGGUGAAAUCCCUCGGCUUAACCGAGGAACUGCCUGCCAGACUGGAUGGCUUGAGACCGGGAGAGGUGAGUGGAAUUCCCAGUGUAGCGGUGAAAUGCGUAGAUAUUGGGAGGAACACCAGUGGCGAAGGCGGCUCACUGGACCGGUACUGACGCUGAGGCGCGAAAGCGUGGGGAGCAAACAGG
This 253-nucleotide ribosomal RNA is filed under the name uncultured bacterium. Its description in RNAcentral is "partial 16S ribosomal RNA". It matches the Rfam family "Bacterial small subunit ribosomal RNA", at positions 524 to 776 of the family's 1533-position model. The record is from RNAcentral.